Molecule: ribosomal RNA, 435 nt
Filed under: Mytilus sp.
Lineage: Eukaryota; Metazoa; Mollusca; Bivalvia; Mytilida; Mytilidae
Description: SSU rRNA
Source: RNAcentral
AAUAMGCUCAUAGCGUAUAUUAAGUUGUUGCAGUUAAAAAGCUCGUAGUUGGAUCUCGGGUCCAGGCUGGCGGUCCGACGCCUGUCGGUUACUGCCUGCUCCUGACCUACCUCCCGGUUUUUCGCCCUUGGUGCUCUUGACUGAGUGUCUCGGGUGGCCGGAACGUUUACUUUGAAAAAAUUAGAGUGUUCAAAGCAGGCAAUAUCGCCUGAAUAAUGGUGCAUGGAAUAAUGGAAUAGGACCUCGGUUCUAUUUUGCUGGUUUUCGGAGCUCGAGGUAAUGAUUAAGAGGGACUGACGGGGGCAUUCGUAUUACGGUGUUAGAGGUGAAAUUCUUGGAUCGCCGUAAGACGAACUACUGCGAAAGCAUUUGCCAAGCAUGUUUUCAUUAGUCAAGAACGAAAGUCAGAGGUUCGAAGRCGAUCAGAUACCGCCA